Long non-coding RNA from Populus euphratica (Euphrates poplar), 377 nucleotides. RefSeq lists it as uncharacterized. Lineage: Eukaryota; Viridiplantae; Streptophyta; Magnoliopsida; Malpighiales; Salicaceae. The transcript has 3 exons. The record is from RefSeq and is a predicted model, not a curated record.
UCAGCAGUCAGCUGCUUGCUCGGCUGACAGUGCAUUGUUGAUGGCACACACGUUUCCAGUGAGAAUUCUUACCUGAAUGACUUAAUUAGAGAACCAGAAAUCUAAUCCUCAAGAAUGAAAUGCCAGGAUUUGCCUUGAGAAUAAAAUGCCAUGGCCUCUGGCUCUUUCUGCAUAGAGAGGUAUUUAUCAGGAAAAGAAUUAUUAGAACUCAACAGAAACUAUAGAAUCAACAAGUUCAAUAAUAAAAAUCUGUGAAAUACAAGCAUGAUUUUAUCAGCAAAAACAAUUCUCUUUAAAAAGCUGCUUAACAACAUUCCAUACAAUGUAAGUCUUUUGAUUGACCAAGUACAAGAAGAAAAUCCCCACUAAUCCAAAAC